GUUGAAGUUGCGCGUCUCUCUCACGCUGUUUGUUCCCAUUUCACAAGAUGGAAUUCCUUCACACCGAGGGCUCAGCGCCGGUAUGUCAGCUGAGGUGGAGUCUGAGUUUCAAUCAAAACACACAGUGACAGACGCACAAAGGUCUUCUGCCGCCUACGUCUUCUCUCUGAACUUGGACCGGAAUAACUUGUGUUUUGACCUCUAGAUAAACUCUGGUAUCGUCUCACUUAAGACUCAGUUUGGGAGGAAGCUUCUCUAAAGUGGCUUCACGCGGUCCGUUGGCCAAACUCACAUUUGAAGGCCUGGUGUCCACAGAAGAACGUGGCCUCAUUCCAAAGACCUGCAGCUUUCAACGGGAACACAAAUCCAAAGCGAGCGCAGAGUCACUGUGCAAAGUCCAACUGGCAGAAUGAGGCGUCUCUUUUGUUACACAGGAAGGAAUUCAACACAAAGGGACGAAAGCAAACAGUGGCUGUCAGAGACAGACGGCCUGGAGGACAGAGACAGGGAGACAGACGGCCUGGAGGACAGAGACAGGGAGACAGAAGGACAGAGACAGAGAGACAGACGGCCUGGAGGACAGAGACAGAGAGACAGACGGCCUGGAGGACAAAGACAGGGAGACAGAAGGCCUGGAGGCCCGAGACAGAUCUGCUCCUAAAAGAGCGACGACUGCAGGGUCAAGGCUGCGGUGAAGAUCCGGAUCUGGGUCUGUCCCUGGUGGACUGGUCUCUGCUGAAGGUCUGAUGGAGUCUGAGCUAAAUGAGGCUCUGGUCAACCUCGUGAUGUCAUCUGGUUUCACCAGAACCCGCUGGAUGAUGUCAUCAAAAAGAGCUGUGUAGAAACAGUCUUCUUACUGGUGGUCUCGUCUUCGUGGAGUCCUCAUAUUAAGCUUCAGCUCACCAAAGACGUGUUUUUAUCCCACAUGCUGCAGCGUGUGUCCCUCAUAAGGCCUGUUUACAACCAACAGAGACACACAAACAUCAUCGGGGCUCCAGACUGCGACCAAAUGGUCGCAUUCUGCGCCUAAAAUGAGACACAGUGCGAGUACAUGUUUCAUCGACCGCGACCAGUAAAUUAUCCGUUUGUUGUUUGGUUAUUAAAUGUUUGUGUUGCACACUUCAGCCCAUUAUAGUGAGCACGAGUGAGUCGAGCGAGCAAAGAGUGAAGAGGUGGAGCGAGCGCAGCAACGGCUGCCUGCGCGCAGAAAACCAGUUUGUGGAGAGGGAACCUGAGUAAACUGCGCGCACGGAAUACGUUUUUCUUUGCUAAAAUAUAGUUCUCUGUGCUUAAAACUUAAAAUUACGCGCUCAGGAUUGUGGCACAAAUAUAACGCCAUACACAUUGUGCAUGCGGGGAACCCGACAUUAAGACUCACUACACAAUUAAAACACAAACACAGGCACCAGGGGGGGAUUGUUUGCAGGAAGUGUUAAUGCACAAGUUAUGUCCAUAACUUGUUCUGUCGUCAGUAGAGCAUAAAUAUUCAUUUUGUAUUUGUAAGCUGUAUAACUGGUGUAUGUUAUUAAAACUAUUGCACAAGUUUCUUAUAAACUUAUUUAUCAGUAAUACAGUAAAAAUGGUGGGACGAGUCGAUUUAUAGCGUGCGCCCCUAAAUGUUAAGUUAGGGGCCACUGUGCUCCCAGUGAGAAGAGUUAGUCUGGAGCCCUGAUCAUACAUACGAAGCUGCAUCUUGCAAAGGAAUUGCAGGACUCGUGACAGAGAAUGUCCCAACAUGUGACUCGCAAUGUCCACCUGUCCCCCGUCCGUCCCUCUGUCUCUGUUUGUCUGGUGCUUCGUCUUGUCUGUGGUGUUUUACAGUGAAUGUGUUCCCAGAUGAACACACCUCUAGUGGCUCAGAGGACGUGACAACCAAUAAAUGGACCUGAGCACCACAUGUCCUGCGUCCCUCUGGAAGUCCUGGACAUGCUUCAGGCUGAAUCAUCUCAUGGUCACAGAUUACAGAUAUUCAGUGUGGGGCGCUGGGUGGUGUAAGUGAAUAUGUGAACCACAUGGUGGCAGCACGCUGAUGGAGUUCACUUCACAAGAAGCUCCCUCCUCACAGCGCCGAGUGACUGUGAGUAUCUGUACUACUUCCAGCUGAGUGACGCACCAUCCAGUCACUGGAUUCACUUCAUUUAUGUUGAACACAUAGUAAGAAUUUGACGCAUAACGCCUCAUCUGUAAAUGGAAAAACAUUUAUCCUGUUAAACACGUCCACAAAGGGUUGAAUGCACUUUGUAUUUAAUACAUGAAAAUGAAGAGAAAUGAUGCUGAACAAUAUGAAACAUGCUGGUUUGGCUUAAGAAUUAAAAGAAAACAUUAAAUCAAAUGUCUUUCUGCGUUCAUUGUGUGUUAAAAAUAUCACAUGAUUUUAGAUACAAAACACUGACAACAUGCGCUGCUGUUAAUUAUUAACUUUAAAACCUCACAACAACUUAACGGGCUGAUGGCAGAGUGAAUUCAUCAUGUUGGUUGAUGUAAUAGUUUAGAUUGUUCUUGAUGUUUGAAAAAUGGCUCUUUAAACCUGCGAGUGGUGGAUGUUUUGAGAAAAUAUGAUUAAUAAAAGAAUCUGACAAUUGUUUAGUGUUGUGGUCUAAAGUUCCACCAGAGCCGUACACUUGAUAAUUAGAAGUGCUGAUGCAGAGGUCUUUUCCAGCUGGUUGUAGUUGAAGUAAACACGUAAGGUUAAGGUUUUGUAAAGAACAUACGGACAUCGGUCCAGAAAGACAACUAUUGUCACCACCGCAAUUCAUUUCAUGACCGACAGCAGUAUGACCGGCGAAGUCCUUCCUGUGUUUCUCCAGCAGCUGAUCCAGGUCCUGUAGAUACGUAGUGAGGGCAGCUUGGAUGACAUGAACAUAGUCCUUCGAACUGAUGCCAGUCUUCUGAUUCAGUCGAGCCUCAUGGAUCAACAUCUGGACGUGGAAGGAGGCUCCGUUCACCCAGAUCUUCAACCCACGGCUCCUCAUCUGUCCGUCAAGCAGCAGGGAGUUUCUGAGGAUGGUGAGAUGGUUGCUCAGCUGUCUCUCCAGUCUCGCUAGUUCACCCUGUAGGUGUCGGUUAUCAGUCAGGUACAUCUGAUGGCGCUUCACAUACUCCGACACAGUGUCCCGGACUGCUGAGGCCUUCUCUUCACCAAAUGCCUGCAGGAACUUGCUGUAUGAAUCAUCAGAAGUUGCAACGUGGCUCUUCAUGGAAAUAUCUAUGAUCAUGGAAAUCAUCAAUGCUCCGAGUCCAACAGCAUUUGGGAAUAAAGUCGAACUCAAACUAGAUCCCAACUUCUCAACGUAUUCUGGAAUCUGAUUGACCAGACCAUCGGAGUAGGUCUGCAGCUCAGCGUUGGAGUUCAAACCAGAAUACUUCAGCAGAGACCGGUCUAGGCCCACAUCUGGAAUGAUACAUGUUUCCCGUAAGGCUCUUUCAUAAAUAUUGAGAGCACAGCUGUCAUAAAUCUCUUGUGAGUAUUCACAGGAGCUUCCAGAGCCCAUGUUUUCGACUGGAACCUGGAGACUCAAACAAAGCUGAGACGUACCCGAAUUCACGCCAGAGAGCAAUGAAAUAGAAUCCAGUCCCUCCCGUGUAACCAGGGUCACUCCACCAACAACCAAUCAGGUCUCUGGAAAGUGAGGCGUGUUUAUUGACUUCUGUCUAAAGUCCCAGUCCGUCCAGAGUCCAGAUGUUUCGCAAUAAAACCAAAUAUUUACCUGCACUAAAGACAGAGAAGCCACAAAAUGUAAAAACCCAAGCUGGAAAUGAAUUCAGCCUUUUCUAUUCAUGUAAUCUUUACAUUUUAUAGCUCUCAUUGUUUCAGUCAUGAGGCUCGACUGAAUCAGAAGUGUUGCUUCAUCUGAAGGAUUCUCAGUACCGAACCAGAACAGAACAACGUCAGCUGCUGAAAAGUGGGUCACAACCCAGAAAUCAGAAGCCGAUAUAACUGAACCGGAGGGAGAGGGAGGAGGAAUGAGGAGAGAGUGAGGAGCAGCAGGAGCACUGGAUGAGUGUUAAAGCAACAGAUGAAACAAAGCUGAAACAAAGAGGAAGGUGUGAGAAGCCUUCUGUCUGCACUGCAGACCAUGACGGAGGCAAAGUGCUGAUGAAGUGUUGUGGGGGAGGACAGCUGACUCACCGAGGGGAGGGAGGGGUAAGGAGGAGCAUCAGAGCUCCUCGUUGGCGUUAUAAGAGCUGGAGCAGAGACCAGUCCACCGUGGACAGACCAGAUCUGACCUCACGGACCAGUGACCGGCCCAACGC
Long non-coding RNA from Gasterosteus aculeatus aculeatus (three-spined stickleback), 4254 nucleotides. NCBI's taxonomy places the organism in Eukaryota, Metazoa, Chordata, Actinopteri, Perciformes, Gasterosteidae. The record is from Ensembl.